This 492-nucleotide ribosomal RNA is filed under the name uncultured bacterium. RNAcentral describes it as "partial 16S ribosomal RNA". It matches the Rfam family "Bacterial small subunit ribosomal RNA", at positions 28 to 507 of the family's 1533-position model. The record is from RNAcentral.
GAUGAACGCUAGCUACAGGCUUAACACAUGCAAGUCGAGGGGAAACGACAUCGAAAGCUUGCUUUUGAUGGGCGUCGACCGGCGCACGGGUGAGUAACGCGUAUCCAACCUGCCCAUCACUUGGGGAUAACCUUGCGAAAGUAAGACUAAUACCCAAUGAUAUCUCUAGAAGACAUCUGAAAGAGAUUAAAGAUUUAUCGGUGAUGGAUGGGGAUGCGUCUGAUUAGCUUGUUGGCGGGGUAACGGCCCACCAAGGCAACGAUCAGUAGGGGUUCUGAGAGGAAGGUCCCCCACAUUGGAACUGAGACACGGUCCAAACUCCUACGGGAGGCAGCAGUGAGGAAUAUUGGUCAAUGGGCGAGAGCCUGAACCAGCCAAGUAGCGUGCAGGAAGACGGCCCUAUGGGUUGUAAACUGCUUUUAUAAGGGAAUAAAGUGAGAGUCGUGACUCUGUUUGUAUGUACCUUAUGAAUAAGGACCGGCUAAUUCCGUG